GCCUAACACAUGCAAGUCGAACGGUAGCACAGAGAGCUUGCUCUCGGGUGACGAGUGGCGGACGGGUGAGUAAUGUCUAGGAAACUGCCUGAUGGAGGGGGAUAACUACUGGAAACGGUAGCUAAUACCGCAUAACGUCGCAAGACCAAAGAGGGGGACCUUCGGGCCUCUUGCCAUCAGAUGUGCCCAGAUGGGAUUAGCUAGUAGGUGGGGUAACGGCUCACCUAGGCGACGAUCCCUAGCUGGUCUGAGAGGAUGACCAGCCACACUGGAACUGAGACACGGUCCAGACUCCUACGGGAGGCAGCAGUGGGGAAUAUUGCACAAUGGGCGCAAGCCUGAUGCAGCCAUGCCGCGUGUAUGAAGAAGGCCUUCGGGUUGUAAAGUACUUUCAGCGGGGAGGAAGGUGUUGCGGUUAAUAACCGCAGCAAUUGACGUUACCCGCAGAAGAAGCACCGGCUAACUCCGUGCCAGCAGCCGCGGUAAUACGGAGGGUGCAAGCGUUAAUCGGAAUUACUGGGCGUAAAGCGCACGCAGGCGGUCUGUCAAGUCGGAUGUGAAAUCCCCGGGCUCAACCUGGGAACUGCAUUCGAAACUGGCAGGCUAGAGUCUUGUAGAGGGGUGUAGAAUUCCAGGUGUAGCGGUGAAAUGCGUAGAGAUCUGGAGGAAUACCGGUGGCGAAGGCGGCCCCCUGGACAAAGACUG
RNAcentral lists this ribosomal RNA (705 nucleotides) under uncultured Enterobacterales bacterium. RNAcentral's name for it is "bacterial SSU rRNA". It matches the Rfam family "Bacterial small subunit ribosomal RNA", at positions 46 to 742 of the family's 1533-position model. The record is from RNAcentral. Lineage: Bacteria; Pseudomonadati; Pseudomonadota; Gammaproteobacteria; Enterobacterales.